GAUGAACGCUGGCGGCGUGCCUAAUACAUGCAAGUCGAGCGAACGGACGAGAAGCUUGCUUCUCUGAUGUUAGCGGCGGACGGGUGAGUAAAACGUGGAUAACCUACCUAUAAGACUGGGAUAACUUCGGGAAACCGGAGCUAAUACCGGAUAAUAUUUUGAACCGCAUGGUUCAAAAGUGAAAGACGGUCUUGCUGUCACUUAUAGAUGGAUCCGCGCUGCAUUAGCUAGUUGGUAAGGUAACGGCUUACCAAGGCAACGAUGCAUAGCCGACCUGAGAGGGUGAUCGGCCACACUGGAACUGAGACACGGUCCAGACUCCUACGGGAGGCAGCAGUAGGGAAUCUUCCGCAAUGGGCGAAAGCCUGACGGAGCAACGCCGCGUGAGUGAUGAAGGUCCUCGGAUCGUAAAACUCUGUUAUUAGGGAAGAACAUAUGUGUAAGUAACUGUGCACAUCUUGACGGUACCUAAUCAGAAAGCCACGGCUAACUACGUG
Molecule: ribosomal RNA, 497 nt
Filed under: uncultured bacterium
Lineage: Bacteria
Description: partial 16S ribosomal RNA
Rfam family: Bacterial small subunit ribosomal RNA
Source: RNAcentral